Long non-coding RNA from Carassius gibelio (silver crucian carp), 1323 nucleotides. RefSeq lists it as uncharacterized. The record is from RefSeq and is a predicted model, not a curated record. Lineage: Eukaryota; Metazoa; Chordata; Actinopteri; Cypriniformes; Cyprinidae. The transcript has 4 exons.
GUUGGCUUCUCUUUGUCUCUGAUGUUGGAGAUAAAACUCUGGGAUCUUUGGGGACCGUAAACAGCAUCUGUCUGCUCUACUCCAAAUAUAACCAUCGUCUACUGGGGGGAAGGGAAUUCCUCAAGAAAAAUGGAACCAACAAAAGAGAGAGAGAAUGCUCCAGAUAUCUGACAGCCGACUUUAAGGAUAGCUGAGAUUAAAGGUCUGGGGAGGAAAGCAGGACCCUGAAAGCUUUGACCUCGGCUGACGAUGCCCGAUUCAGACUCCUCCGGUGGCACGGCUCUCACAGAACUUCACUAGAUGUCGGUUUUCAUAUUCCUUAUUAUCGCCGCUCCAGCCCCUUCCCACAUUUUUGAAGUACAGCAACUAAAAAAAGCCUGUGCCAGGUGGAGCGGCUAAUGAAAAAUGCCCUGCUGUUUCCUCCCCAAUGGCCGAGAGAGCUGCCCAUACAAAAGUAGUGCUGAAGGGUGGUGGCAGACCAGAGACCUGGCCUCUACAGCCCUAUUCCCCAUCCCCCUUUUGGUGGAUUUGCAGUUAAAAGGUUGGAGAUACAUGGGAAAGAGAGCGCUCCCCAUGAGGCGAAAGCUACGAAAGUCACAGCUACGGAAUCGCAGACGACCUUGAAAGCUGUGGCACCGGCAGCUCCUGUAAAUUAUUCACACAGGAUGCAGAAAAGGGCUUCUUCUGCACUCCCGGACGAAAAAGCGGAAGCCAAAGCAAGCAUCGCCAUCACAGCUUCUCACAUGGAAGACGUGGAUUAAUGGAAUGUGGAUUAAUAGAAAGGAGACUUGCGUACAACUGGAAAAAGAUACAGAGAGUGGUCUUGCCAUUGCCUGUGCACAUCAAAAAAGUUGAAGGAGAGAAAGAAUAAGGGAGGUCCCUUCAUAAUUAAUUUCUCCCCCCUACGGAAACAUCGCGAUGGGGCCAAUUAUUGCCAGAAUGUGACUCCAUUGCCUGCUGCGUCACUGUCCACAGAGCUGCAAUCCUCUAGAUAUCCACAUGACACUGAAUACAGUGAGACACACACACACUUAUCUUUACAGGGUAAAUCACACUGGUUGGUAUUGGUUUUGAAACUAAUUCUGUGCGAUCAUUUUUCUUUCAUUGGGUUGUAUUUCCGGGAAGAUUGACCAAUAGUUAAACAAAGCAAAACAGCAAUUUUAAAAUAAAACAUAAUAUAAUAUUAUUUCAUUAUGUUUAGAUAUUAUGAAAAUAAUAAAUAUAAAUACAUUUCAUUAUCAUUUAAUGUAAAUCCUCCACUAGUGGUGGCAUUUUAAAGCUGUAAAAAAUUAUAUAAAAACAUUCUAUGAAAAAACUAAAUAU